CCUACGGGAGACAGCAGUGAGGAAUAUUGGUCAAUGGGCGUAAGCCUGAACCAGCCAAGUCGCGUGAGGGAUGAAGGUUCUAUGGAUCGUAAACCUCUUUUAUAAGGGAAUAGAGUGUGGGACGUGUCCUGUUAUGUAUGUACCUUAUGAAUAAGGAUCGGCUAACUCCGUGCCAGCAGCCGCGGUAAUACGGAGGAUCCGAGCGUUAUCCGGAUUUAUUGGGUUUAAAGGGUGCGUAGGCGGCCUUUUAAGUCAGCGGUGAAAGUCUGUGGCUCAACCAUAGAAUUGCCUUUGAAACUGGGAGUCUUGAGUAUGUUUGAGGCAGGCGGAAUGCGUGGUGUAGCGGUGAAAUGCUUAGAUAUCACGCAGAACCCCAAUUGCGAAGGCAGCCUGCCAAGCCAUGACUGACGCUGAUGCACGAAAGCGUGGGGAUCAAACAGGAUUAGAUACCCUGGUAGUC
Molecule: ribosomal RNA, 460 nt
Filed under: uncultured bacterium
Lineage: Bacteria
Description: partial 16S ribosomal RNA
Rfam family: Bacterial small subunit ribosomal RNA
Source: RNAcentral